RNAcentral lists this ribosomal RNA (445 nucleotides) under uncultured bacterium. Its description in RNAcentral is "SSU rRNA". It matches the Rfam family "Bacterial small subunit ribosomal RNA", at positions 26 to 518 of the family's 1533-position model. The record is from RNAcentral.
AGAGCGAACGCUGGCGGCAGGCCUAAUACAUGCAAGUCGAACGGAUCCUUCGGGAUUAGUGGCGGACGGGUGAGUAACACGUGGGAACGUACCCUUUGGUUCGGAACAACUCAGGGAAACUUGAGCUAAUACAGAAUGUGCCCUUCGGGGAAAAGAUUUAUCGCCAUUGGAGCGGCCCGCGUCUGAUUAGCUAGUUGGUAGGGUAAAGGCCUACCAAGGCUACGAUCAGUAGCUGGUCUGAGAGGAUGAUCAGCCACACUGGGACUGAGACACGGCCCAGACUCCUACGGGAGGCAGCAGUAGGGAAUCUUGCGCAAUGGGCGAAAGCCUGACGCAGCCAUGCCGCGUGAAUGAUGAAGGUCUUAGGAUUGUAAAAUUCUUUCAGCGGGGACGAUAAUGACGGUACCGCAGAAGAAGCCCCGGCUAACUUCGCGCCAGCAGCCGC